Molecule: ribosomal RNA, 547 nt
Filed under: uncultured bacterium
Lineage: Bacteria
Description: bacterial SSU rRNA
Rfam family: Bacterial small subunit ribosomal RNA
Source: RNAcentral
UAGGGAAUCUUCCACAAUGGGCGAAAGCCUGAUGGAGCAACGCCGCGUGUGUGAUGAAGGCUUUAGGGUCGUAAAGCACUGUUGUAUGGGAAGAAAUGCUAGAAUAGGGAAUGAUUCUAGUUCGACGGUACCAUACCAGAAAGGGACGGCUAAAUACGUGCCAGCAGCCGCGGUAAUACGUAUGUCCCGAGCGUUAUCCGGAUUUAUUGGGCGUAAAGCGAGCGCAGACGGUUGAUUAAGUCUGAUGUGAAAGCCCGGAGCUCAACUCCGGAAUGGCAUUGGAAACUGGUUAACUUGAGUGUUGUAGAGGUAAGUGGAACUCCAUGUGUAGCGGUGGAAUGCGUAGAUAUAUGGAAGAACACCAGUGGCGAAGGCGGCUUACUGGACAACAACUGACGUUGAGGCUCGAAAGUGUGGGUAGCAAACAGGAUUAGAUACCCUGGUAGUCCACACCGUNNCGAUGAAUACUAGGUGUUAGGAGGUUUCCGCCUCUUAGUGNCGAAGCUAACGCAUUAANUAUUCCNCCUGGGGAGUACGACCGCAAGGU